UGCUAUAUCAUUUUCAAAUGUUCAAAAAGCA
Molecule: non-coding RNA, 31 nt
Filed under: Rattus norvegicus (Norway rat)
Lineage: Eukaryota; Metazoa; Chordata; Mammalia; Rodentia; Muridae
Source: RNAcentral